ACUGAGUGAGGGUCACUGUUCUCUUUCCAGUGGCAAAUGUGAGGGGUGAAGGUCCACCAGUGCAUAACAACUUAAACUUGUGCUCUGAAAAGGACAAUGACAGCAUCGCCUACAGAACUAACAAUGGACUGACCAAAGGGAUACGGAAUAUUUGUGCAUCAGUACAUGAGGAUACCUCUCUGCAGUGCUCACAAGACUCAAUAAGAAUGGCGGUCAUCACAUUGGUCCCAGCACAUCACUGAUACAGCAGAUCCAGCUGUGCUGCUGGUACAGCCACACCAUGCCCAGAUGGUGCUGCCUAAAGCAUCAGCCCUCCAUGAUGCUGUACCCCAGUGCCAGGUAGGAAGCUUUGAAUUGCUCAUCUAUCUGUGACUACUGCAGUUAGUAGCACCCAAGAAUAGCUCAUAAACUUUGCACUAAGAUUUCUGCAGCCAACACAAACUGAUA
This 447-nucleotide long non-coding RNA is filed under the name Coturnix japonica (Japanese quail). RNAcentral describes it as "lncRNA (ENSCJPG00005014656.1)". Lineage: Eukaryota; Metazoa; Chordata; Aves; Galliformes; Phasianidae. The record is from RNAcentral.